This 243-nucleotide ribosomal RNA is filed under the name uncultured bacterium. Its description in RNAcentral is "partial 16S ribosomal RNA". It matches the Rfam family "Bacterial small subunit ribosomal RNA", at positions 111 to 354 of the family's 1533-position model. The record is from RNAcentral.
UAACGCGUGAGGAACCUGCCUUGGAGUGGGGAAUAACAGCUAGAAAUAGCUGCUAAUACCGCAUAAUGCAACUAAGUCGCAUGGCUUUGGUUGCCAAGAUUUAUCGCUCUGAGAUGGCCUCGCGUCUGAUUAGAUAGUUGGCGGGGUAACGGCCCACCAAGUCGACGAUCAGUAGCCGGACUGAGAGGUUGGCCGGCCACAUUGGGACUGAGACACGGCCCAGACUCCUACGGAAGGCAGCAG